This 645-nucleotide ribosomal RNA is filed under the name Trametes versicolor. RNAcentral describes it as "eukaryotic LSU rRNA". It matches the Rfam family "Eukaryotic large subunit ribosomal RNA", at positions 38 to 667 of the family's 3401-position model. The record is from RNAcentral. Lineage: Eukaryota; Fungi; Basidiomycota; Agaricomycetes; Polyporales; Polyporaceae.
GCAUAUCAAUAAGCGGAGGAAAAGAAACUAACAAGGAUUCCCCUAGUAACUGCGAGUGAAGCGGGAAAAGCUCAAAUUUAAAAUCUGGCGGUCUUUGGCCGUCCGAGUUGUAGUCUGGAGAAGCGUCUUCCGCGYUGGACCGUGUACAAGUCUCUUGGAACAGAGCGUCAUAGAGGGUGAGAAUCCCGUCUUUGACACGGACUACCAAUGCUUUGUGAUGCGCUCUCAAAGAGUCGCGUUGUUUGGGAAUGCAGCGCAAAAUGGGAGGUGAAUUCCUUCUAAAGCUAAAUAUUGGCGAGAGACCGAUAGCGAACAAGUACCGUGAGGGAAAGAUGAAAAGCACUUUGGAAAGAGAGUUAAACAGUACGUGAAAUUGCUAAAAGGGAAACGYUUGAAGUCAGUCGCGUCGUCCGGAACUCAGCUUUGCUUCGGCUUAGUGCACUUUCCGGUUGACGGGCCAGCAUCGAUUUUGACCGCUGGAAAAGGGCUGGAGGAAUGUGGCACCUUCGGGUGUGUUAUAGCCUUCAGUCGCAUACAGCGGUUGGGAUCGAGGAACGCAGCGCGCCUUAUGGCUGGGGUUCGCCCACAUUCGCGCUUAGGAUGCUGGCAUAAUGGCUUUAAACGACCCGUCUUGAAACACGGACC